UAAUAAGUGUUCUAUGGCACUUUUUAAAUCCAUAUCCACCUUGUGUGCAAUGUCAGUCGAUCUUCUUCAUGGAGAUCGACCAAACAUCAACCUUUAUUUUUUAACUCUUUGUCUGAAAAAUAUUAUGAAUAAACAAUUCAAAAUA
RNAcentral lists this unclassified non-coding RNA (145 nucleotides) under soil metagenome. Its description in RNAcentral is "partial internal transcribed spacer 1". The record is from RNAcentral.